Molecule: long non-coding RNA, 1422 nt
Organism: Condylura cristata (star-nosed mole)
Lineage: Eukaryota; Metazoa; Chordata; Mammalia; Eulipotyphla; Talpidae
Exons: 4
Source: RefSeq, a predicted model, not a curated record
UCCUUUAGUUUUUGUGUAGUUACAAAACAAUCAUACUCAUGCAGGCACAACAAAAAGCAAAAAGAACAUGACUCAAGCGGGUGUUAGCUCUGUGUAGCUGUUAUCAUUGUGAGACAUCUCAUCCAUUGAUUCAGAAAAAUUUUCUGCAUCUACUAUGCAGGUCUUGGCUCAGAACUUUGAGGGAUCAGAAGGAAGGUGGAAGUGAUGUCUCUGCUUGAGCCCACGAUGGACCUGUGUGGAGAUGAAAGCUCUCUGCCACACGGGAGAUCUCAGCGCAGCCAGAGAGCCAUUGCCGGACAAGGACGAGCCCACGGAAUCAUUGCUCCUGUGGCACCUGUGGCCCGGGGCAGGCACUGCACGGCACGGCACGUUCCCAAGCGGACUGAGUCAGGAGAGGCUUCCCGGAGCGGGAGAAGGGAGCCCUGUGGCUGUGCUGAUGGAAGCACACAGCAAGGUUAUUAAGGAAAAGAGGAGAAAGGAAAGAGACAUCUGCACAGACACAGACGAGAGCUGCCGACUUCUGACCUUUAGGGCUGUAAAGUAAUAUGUGUUAUUUUAAGCCACCGUAUUUGUGGCAAUUUGUUAUGGAAGCAUUAGAAACUGCAUAUAGUUAUCUCAAAGUAAACAUCAAGACGAGAAUUCCUGCGCGGCAAGGCAGCUGAACCUCAAGCUGGGACUCCCCUCCCUGGACUCGCAUCUGCUGGGGAAUAGGGUUCUCGCUUCUUGUGGUGCUGGGCUGUCCAAUUUAAAGACAAGAAAGCAACUAUAGAGCAGGAGAGUGUUUUGUAGCAAAGGAAGACCAAGCCUCAGGGCUCCUGUUCAGCCCUGUGAUUUCAUCCUCCCUUCCUCACCCCUGAUGGGCCACGUCCUGGGAGGGCCACUCCACCCACCUCCCCUUCUCCCUGUCAUUCACCUGUCCAGUCUGCACACAUCAUUGCACUGAUUGUCUUGUGAUGUCAUCAGGCUUGGCGGCUCUAUUCUCACCAGUUAACUUGAUUUCAACCAUAGAGGCAUAGUCGACAUAGCCUAUUACAUUAGUUUCAGGUGUGUAACCCAAUGAUCCCACGUUUGUAUAUAGAUUGCAAAGUGAUCACUGCAGUAAAUCCAGUUAACCUACACCCCGGGAUAGUUGCGUCAUCCACAACACACGCCGUGUGCUGUGCAGAGUCCAGGAAGAUUGCGUGCAGCGGUGGGAGAAGGCUUGCAGCUCCCAGGCUGGAGAACACCGUUCUUUCCUCCGCUUGCGUUCUCGUGCCAGUCCCUCCUGCCAGCCCAGACCCUGCCAGCCUCUGCCUGUGGCACACCCUGCAUGCGUCUGUUUGAAGUGACAUAGCUCUCACCUGGCUGUUCAGCUUGCAGCCUCCGCCUCUCACUCCCCCUGCUCAGUAGAACACACCUUGUCUCAGGCUCUGUCCUCUUUAU